AACCUUAAUUCCACGUGCUGAUCCAAUAUUACUGAUCCAACAGUAACAUAAAAAUGGUUUUAAUUCUAAGAGAUAAAAGGCAGAAGAAACUACAAUAUUCAAAAGCAGUGAAACAAUUUGAAAACGGAUGGAAAAUCAAGAUAUUGAAUUUAAUCCUAUGAUCAACACAUAUAUGGUGAAAAACAUGGUGAAAACCAAUGGAAAACAUGGUGGACACCGAUGAAAAAACAAGGAGGAAGGGGGAAAAUGGUGAAUAAUAAUAAUAAUCUUCUUUUCUAAAUGUGCAGAGCGGUACUGUAAUAUUUUUUUUUCCUUUUUAUUCCCAUCUAAACACACCAAAAGUAUGUUGUGUGCUGGCCACCCCCCAUAAGACCAAUUGAGUCUGCUAAAAGGUUUGGUUGGACCGUGUCUCGAAAAUGAAUGUAUGGCAUGGUUGUCAUAUGGGUAGCGAUGCACAUGCAUGGAAAAACUGGUCUCCAAAAUGACCUGCAAAACUUAUUUAGAAACUAUUGUCCAACCGCCCCUCUGCCAUUAUCUACUGCUACAUAUACAAGUGACAUAUUAGCAAAUAUAACAUACAUAUUUAGAUCAGUAAAUAAAUAUUGUAAAACCCCCUUUGCGGGGCACAGGACUUGGCGCAAGACAAAACAUGUUAGUCCAAUAAAUGAAAACUUGGGAGCAGUGUA
This 686-nucleotide long non-coding RNA is filed under the name Brachypodium distachyon (stiff brome). RNAcentral's name for it is "long non-coding RNA (BDIS_LNC002473)". The record is from RNAcentral. Lineage: Eukaryota; Viridiplantae; Streptophyta; Magnoliopsida; Poales; Poaceae.